CCGGUUACGUAGAGAGGGUGUAAAAAUGAACUUCAGAGGCUGGAGCACCGGUGGCUCACCGAGUCAUUCAAUGUUCCAACGAUCGACUAAUUUCCAAUGGCUAUAAUGACAUGGUAGGGUCUAGAGGUCACUAGAUCGUCACUAUUCAUAGUCCAGUGUGCUUGAUAGUCAGAACGACUCCAUGCUUCUGUAGUCAUCAGACAAUCUGAUGGUGCACCAAACCAAAACUGUAGGGGGUCCGGUGCACCACCUGACAGUGCAAUUUUUACUACUUUUUUCUAACGACUUUUUUAGUUGUUGGGGGCUAUAAAUACCCCCAAGCAGUACAAUGAAGGCACAAGAACUACUCCAACCUACUACACAUCAAGUGCAACACCUCCAAACCAUUCAAAGCCAUACACGUGACGCAUUUGAUUGAUUUGAGUUUGAGAGACUUAGCGGCUAGUGCAUUUAGGGCGUGUUUGGUUUGGCGCCUAAUCCGCCACACCGCGCCACACUUUUAAGCCACAAGUGUGGCGGCCAAAUCGGCCGCCACACUUGUGGCUUAAAAGUGUGGCGUGGUGUGGUGGCUUAGGCGCCACACCAAACACGCCCUUAAUUGUUGCGAGUUCUUAUGAUCUUGAUUUGAGCUUUCAUUUUCACUUUGUAUCCCCCAUUCUCAUUGUUGUAAAGUGAAGCAACAGACUUUGUUCUUUGUGUGGAGGUCGUUGCGGGACUUGGCGUCUCUGAGAAGUGAAGAAAGACUCAAUUGGUCUCCAUGACCAUUUGAGAGAGGAAAAGGGUUGAAAGAGACCCGUUCUUAGUGGACUCUGAAAACAUCUAGGCUUCUAGUUGGUUUUAGUGAUCAAUGACAACGUAAGAUUACUUGUGACUAAUGUGUGUUUCGCAGAGCAAAUGGUAAGUGUAAUACCCAAUUUGUAAAUAAUAAGAGAAGGGUGAUCUUCUUACAUGUAUCUUCUUCCAAUUAUUAGAACAUGUGAAUAGCCUUAUUUAAAGUGAAUAAUUAACUAAUGACACCUAAAAUAAU
RNAcentral lists this long non-coding RNA (1027 nucleotides) under Zea mays. RNAcentral's name for it is "long non-coding RNA (ZMAY_LNC002473)". The record is from RNAcentral. Lineage: Eukaryota; Viridiplantae; Streptophyta; Magnoliopsida; Poales; Poaceae.